Molecule: ribosomal RNA, 523 nt
Filed under: Lewia cf. infectoria BA1234
Lineage: Eukaryota; Fungi; Ascomycota; Dothideomycetes; Pleosporales; Pleosporaceae
Also listed under: 1 other name
Description: eukaryotic LSU rRNA
Rfam family: 5.8S ribosomal RNA (bases 202-355)
Source: RNAcentral
AUCAUUACACAAUAACAAGGCGGGCUGGACACCCCCCGCUGGGCACUGCUUCACGGCGUGCGCGGCGGGGCCGGCCCUGCUGAAUUAUUCACCCGUGUCUUUUGCGUACUUCUUGUUUCCUGGGUGGGCUCGCCCGCCCUCAGGACCAACCACAAACCUUUUGCAAUAGCAAUCAGCGUCAGUAACAACGUAAUUAAUUACAACUUUCAACAACGGAUCUCUUGGUUCUGGCAUCGAUGAAGAACGCAGCGAAAUGCGAUACGUAGUGUGAAUUGCAGAAUUCAGUGAAUCAUCGAAUCUUUGAACGCACAUUGCGCCCUUUGGUAUUCCAAAGGGCAUGCCUGUUCGAGCGUCAUUUGUACCCUCAAGCUUUGCUUGGUGUUGGGCGUCUUUUGUCUCCAGGUCGCUGGAGACUCGCCUUAAAGUCAUUGGCAGCCGGCCUACUGGUUUCGGAGCGCAGCACAAGUCGCGCUCUUCGCCAGCCAAAGGUCAGCGUCCAGCAAGCCUUUUUUUCAACCUUUGA